GGGUCUGUGGUCUAGUUGGUCAUGACGCGGCCUUUACAAGGCUGAGGUCGGCGGUUCGAACCCGCCCGGACCCA
This 74-nucleotide transfer RNA is filed under the name Halorussus gelatinilyticus. It matches the Rfam family "tRNA". From Rfam's summary of the family: Transfer RNA (tRNA) molecules are approximately 80 nucleotides in length. Their secondary structure includes four short double-helical elements and three loops (D, anti-codon, and T loops). Lineage: Archaea; Methanobacteriati; Methanobacteriota; Halobacteria; Halobacteriales; Haladaptataceae. The record is from Rfam by way of RNAcentral.